This 72-nucleotide transfer RNA is filed under the name Camelus bactrianus (Bactrian camel). It matches the Rfam family "tRNA". Rfam says of the family: Transfer RNA (tRNA) molecules are approximately 80 nucleotides in length. Their secondary structure includes four short double-helical elements and three loops (D, anti-codon, and T loops). Lineage: Eukaryota; Metazoa; Chordata; Mammalia; Artiodactyla; Camelidae. RNAcentral also lists the same sequence under 1 other name. The record is from Rfam by way of RNAcentral.
GAGGGUAUUGCUCAGUGGUAGAGCGCAUGCUUAGCAUGCACAAGGUCCUGGGUUCAAUCCCCAGUACUUCCA